UAGUGAAUCUGGUAACCAGAUUUUAGUUGUAACUGAGCAGUGUAGGUGAAAGAUGUGUCGAUGAAAUGUAGCCUUUUAUACCUUCAGUCUACCAUAUUUGUUUACAUGUAUUUUGUAGACCUCUUUCGAACUCUGUAUUAAUUUCAAAAUACUUAUCCUCGAAAUCAACUGUAAAAACUAAAUUAAAGUGACACUGAAAAAGAUGUGCUUCGAAAGAGUCAAAAAGCGUAUAUGUUUUGUGUUCAACAAUUUUUUUAAACGGCUAUUUAUAUCUAUUUUCUAGUGACUGUUGGUAAAAGAGCUUGUCUUUGGAUCAAUGAUUUACUAAUGGAUCUAAAGAAUUUCGAACGUGUCCGAAAUGACUUGAGAUUUAGAGGGUGUAAAGGAACAACUGGUACUCAAGCGUCAUUUCUUCAACUGUUUAACAAGUCAAAUUGUUUAUGGUCAAACGUGUUCUCGCAAGGUUGAUGUUGAGGUCUUGGGUGCCUUAGCUGGUCUAGGUUCAACAAUUCAUAACCUUUUGCUGUUCAUUAGCCAGAACUCACCUAUUAUCUCAAAAACAGGAAAUAUGCUUACGAAUAUACUGGAGACGUUCUUACCAAAAUCCCAUCCAGUUCGAGCUUAUACUCUGGUACUCUUAACAUCAAGAGACUUUAAGUUUCUUGAAAAAAAAUCCCAUUCAAUUCUUUUAAUCAAAAAACCCUUGGUCUGACAAAAUGAGAUAGCUGAUAGAUGAAAUGAAAAAUAGAAUGCCAAUGUUGCUGUUUCCUAAUAUACGCAAUUAAUUAUACUCAAUACUAAUCUACAUCAAUUGAUUAAUUCUGCAAUUGAAUAUAUGUAAUCAAAUAUGUAUCGGUAUUGUAACAUGUCUUUAUGCGUUGAAUUUGUAUAUUGCUUGGUGAUACAUGUUUUUGGUCUGCACAGUGAAAGUGACCUUUCGGUAACUGUUAGAGCAUAAAAUGAGCCACCCCAUGGUGCUCCCAAUGUAAUGAUAGCAAAAACUUUGUAAUUGAUUAUAAUCAAGUUUUCUCUAUCAUUACCUUGGGAGCACCAUGGGGUGACUCAUUUUAUGCUUUAAAAGCACUUCCAUCUGGUGGUGCUAUGGGAAUAGCUUUUAGCUUUGAUCAAGCAUUGGCCAUGAUUUAACUGGAUGGGGUGAUGGAACAGUUACCGAUAGGUCACUUUCGUUGUACAGCCCAAAGACAUAUAUCACCAACCAAUAUACAAAUUCAACGCAUAAAGAAAUGUUACAAUACCCAAACAUAUAUUCAAUUGCAGAAUUAAUUGAUUAAUACACUUAAUUUUUGAAAAUAACAAUAAUAAUAAUAAAAUACAAUUAAUAACCACAA
Molecule: non-coding RNA, 1349 nt
Organism: Tetranychus urticae (two-spotted spider mite)
Lineage: Eukaryota; Metazoa; Arthropoda; Arachnida; Trombidiformes; Tetranychidae
Source: RefSeq, a predicted model, not a curated record